UAAUAAAAAUUUCCCUUCAAAAUCUCCUGGACAAGCUCUCAUCACUUAGCAAGUGAAGCUCUAAAGCUUGCUUCAAGAAACCAAUCAAGUCAGCUCGAUUCUCCCUUUAGUUUUGUGGAAACAGAAAAUUCAGGAAACAAAGAUCAGCAGAUCGUGUUAUACGCAGGAAAGCUGGAUCUUUCAAUUGAGAAUGAGAAGCUCAAAGAACANNN
Molecule: long non-coding RNA, 212 nt
Filed under: Solanum tuberosum (potato)
Lineage: Eukaryota; Viridiplantae; Streptophyta; Magnoliopsida; Solanales; Solanaceae
Description: long non-coding RNA (STUB_LNC001147)
Source: RNAcentral